Molecule: ribosomal RNA, 253 nt
Filed under: uncultured bacterium
Lineage: Bacteria
Description: partial 16S ribosomal RNA
Rfam family: Bacterial small subunit ribosomal RNA
Source: RNAcentral
UACGAGGGGGGCGAGCGUUGUUCGGAAUUAUUGGGCGUAAAGGGUGCGUAGGCGGUUUGGUAAGUCUGGUGUGAAAUCUAUGGGCUCAACUCAUAGUCUGCAUCGGAAACUGCCGGGCUUGAGUGUGGGAGAGGUGAGUGGAAUUCCUGGUGUAGCGGUGAAAUGCGUAGAUAUCAGGAGGAACACCUGUGGCGAAAGCGGCUCACUGGACCAUAACUGACGCUGAUGCACGAAAGCUAGGGGAGCAAACAGG